CAAAAUUUGAGAGAAAUAAACUUUUUGUGAAUAUGGAACAUUUCUGUUUUAUUUCAGCUCAUGAAACAUGGGACCAACACUUUACAUGGUGUAUUUAUAUUUUUGUUCAAUAUCAAACAAACAUGCCUCUCUGACAUGUAAAAUACUGAAAUCACAGCAGCUCUAUUCAUAGAAUUUUUAUCUAGAAUGUUCCAAAACCUUUUCCUACUGAACAUGGCCCUGGUUUUAAAAAUGGCAGUUAUUGGCAACACCAUGGCAACAACACAACCACAACCAACUCUGAUUGGCCAGUCAAAAGACACAACCAACUCUGAUUGGCCAGUCAAAAGACACAACCAACUCUGAUUGGCCAGUCAAAAGACACAACAAACUCUGAUUGGCCAGUCAAAAGACACAACAAACUCUGAUUGGCCAGUUAAGCCAGACAGAGGUACUGUAUGUAGUAAAAAAACAACUUUAAAAAGCAGGAAUAAUAAACAAUAAUAAAACAAUGCAAUACUGUGAGAUCAUGGCACAGAUAUAGACAGACUGACCGGCAGAUAUAUGACCAUAGAAAUAGACACAGGCAGGGUAUAGAUAAUACUGGUGUGGUACUUUAAAAAUACCGCAGCGUUGUUGGAGCAACACUACGUAGUUGUGUGUUCGUAUCCAUGGUUACCAUAGGUAGAGCCCAGCCUCGUUCCAGACACAGCGGAGAUAACGUCAGAGCAGGUCCACUGACUACAUCUCCCAGAGGGCUUUUUCCAAAAUAAAAGUCCCCGUGAUAUCUGCACCGGUUGUUCACGAGUAUUGAGUGAACCUCGUGUCAUGUAAGCUACAACAGUACUGUGUGUCUCUGCGUGAUGGUGGACAAGGUUCAGUUUCAAACUGUCACUUCUAGAGAUAUGGGUUUAACAGAUCCCAAGGUCCUGUUUCAAACUGUCACUUCUAGAGAUAUGGGUUUAACAGAUCCCAAGGUCCUGUUUCAAACUGUCACUUCUAGAGAUAUGGGUUUAACAGAUCCCAAGGUCCUGUUUCAAACUGUCACUUCUAGAGAUAUGGGUUUAACAGAUCCCAAGGUUCCGUUGUUUCCAUAUUGGUCAGUGCGUGACCUGAACUCUUAUUGUGAAACACUUUGUUCCAGAUGCAUUUCCUGGGCUCCAUGUAACAGUUCCAUGACACAGAAUAGCCCACCAGGUAACCAACCAGCCAAGUCCAUAUCUCAGAAAGGUAUAGCCACACCUUUUACUCCAUACUGUAGUUACAGCUCCAUAAUCCAUACAGGGCAGAGGACCAUAAACCAUAGCCAGUCUAUUCCCCAUGUAGGUACGAGGUGAGCCAUGUAAUCCCAUCCCAGGUAGGUCCAUCCCAGAUCAGUUUAUCCAGGUAGGUCCAUCCCAGGUAGCCAUAGACAGGUAGGUCCAUCUCGGGUAGCCAUAGACAGGUAUGUCCAUCUCGGGUAGGUCCAUCCCAGGUAGGUCCAUCCCAGGUAGGUCCAUCCCAGGUAGGUCCAUCCCAGGUAGCCAUAGACAGGUAGGUCCAUCCCAGAUCAGUUUAUCCAGGUAGGUCCAUCCCAGGUAGCCAUAGACAGGUAGGUCCAUCCCAGAUCAGUUUAUCCAGGUAGGUCCAUCCCAGGUAGCCAUAGACAGGUAUGUCCAUCCCAGGUAGCCAUAGACAGGUAUGUCCAUCUCGGGUAGCCACAGACAGGUAGGUCCAUCCCAGGUAGCCAUAGACAGGUAUGUCCAUCCCAGGUAGCCAUAGACAGGUAUGUCCAUCUCGGGUAGCCACAGACAGGUAGGUCCAUCCCAGGUAGCCAUAGACAGGUAUGUCCAUCUCGGGUAGCCAUAGACAGGUAUGUCCAUCUCGGGUAGGUCCAUCCCAGGUAUGUCCAUCCCAGGUAGCCAUAGACAGGUAUGUCCAUCCCAGGUAGCCAUAGAUAGGUAGGUCCAUCCCAGGUAGCCACAGACAGGUAGGUCCAUCCCAGGUAGCCAUAGACAGGUAUGUCCAUCUCGGGUAGGUCCAUCCCAGGUAUGUCCAUCCCAGGUAGCCAUAGACAGGUAUGUCCAUCCCAGGUAGCCAUAGACAGGUAUGUCCAUCCCAGGUAGCCAUAGACAGGUAUGUCCAUACAUGCAGCCAUAGACAGGUAGGUCCAUCCCAGGUAGCCAUAGACAGGUAUGUCCAUACAUGCAGCCAUAGUCCAAGUAAAUCUUAGCCUGCAGGUAUGUCUCCGUCCUCUGUCCCAGGUUAGAUUUGUCCCAGGGCCAGGCUAAACCAGACUUAACCCCGGUACAGUCAUGGUUCUGGCACCAGUGUGGCCCCAGUUAGGCCCUGUGGUCUCAGGACUGGUUGUCCCCAGUAGGGGUUGGUGGUUCGAGUGACAGUUCUUCGUCAGACAGCCCCGUUUCCACAGCGAUCACCAGGGAUGCCACAGACGCACUGCUGGUCAUGGGCUGGAACUCACCUAGAGAGAGAGAGACAGGGGGAGGAGGAGACAAAAGAAGGAUGAGAGAGACCGAGAGAGGGAGAGAGAAAGAGGGAUGAGAGAGAGAAAGAAGAGGGGGGAGGGAGAGAAAGAAAGAGGGAGAGGUGAGGAUGCAAUUCAUUAAAGCUGCCACCAGGUGGCACUAUGAGUGCUGUUUGUGUGUGUGCGUAUGUGUGCGUGUGUGUGCGUGGUGUGACUGUGGGCUGCGUGGUGUGACUGUGCGUGUCGCUAGCCUCGCCCGCCGCCCGGCGCUAGCCUCGCCCGCCGCCCGGCGCUAGCCUCGCCCGCCGCCCGGCGCUAGCCUCGCCCGCCGCUAGUCUCGCCCGCCGCUAGUCUCGCCCGCCGCCUGUCGCUAGUCUCGCCCGCCGCCUGUCGCUAGUCUCGCCCGCCGCCUGUCGCUAGUCUCGCCCGCCGCCUGUCGCUAGUCUCGCCCGCCGCCUGUCGCUAGUCUCGCCCGCCGCCUGUCGCUAGUCUCGCCCGCCGCCUGUCGCUAGUCUCGCCCGCCGCCUGUCGCUAGUCUCGCCCGCCGCCUGUCGCUAGUCUCGCCCGCCGCCUGUCGCUAGUCUGUCGGUAGCUGCGUGUCGGUAGCUGCGUGUCGGUAGCUGCGUGUCGGUAGCUGCGUGUCGGUAGCUGCGUGUCGGUAGCUCGCCUGCGUGUCACUAGUUGCGUGUCACUAGUUGCGUGUCGG
Long non-coding RNA from Oncorhynchus tshawytscha (Chinook salmon), 3149 nucleotides. The record is from Ensembl. NCBI's taxonomy places the organism in Eukaryota, Metazoa, Chordata, Actinopteri, Salmoniformes, Salmonidae.